This 73-nucleotide transfer RNA is filed under the name Candidatus Kaiserbacteria bacterium. RNAcentral describes it as "tRNA-Thr". It matches the Rfam family "tRNA". Rfam says of the family: Transfer RNA (tRNA) molecules are approximately 80 nucleotides in length. Their secondary structure includes four short double-helical elements and three loops (D, anti-codon, and T loops). Lineage: Bacteria; Candidatus Kaiseribacteriota. The record is from RNAcentral. RNAcentral also lists the same sequence under 3 other names.
GCCGGGAUAGCUCAGUUGGUAGAGCAACGGUUUUGUAAACCGUAGGUCGCGAGUUCAAGCCUCGCUCCCGGCU